AAGACUAUACUUUCAGGGAUCAUUUCUAUAGUUUGUUACUAGAGAAGUUUCUCUGAACGUGUAGAGCACCGGAAACCACGAGGAGGAGGUGCAGUGUUCUCUCCUGAGCGUGAAGCUGGCCUUUGGUGUUGCGUUAUUGCAGCUACCAUUUGCUAUUGAUGAUCGUUCUUCUCUUCCUCUGGAAGAGCUAGAGGGAGAGAACGCAGUCUGAGUGGU
This is a small nucleolar RNA of Sapajus apella (tufted capuchin), 216 nucleotides long. RefSeq annotates it as small nucleolar RNA U3. NCBI's taxonomy places the organism in Eukaryota, Metazoa, Chordata, Mammalia, Primates, Cebidae. The transcript has a single exon. The record is from RefSeq and is a predicted model, not a curated record.